This 329-nucleotide ribosomal RNA is filed under the name uncultured eukaryote. RNAcentral describes it as "partial 18S ribosomal RNA". It matches the Rfam family "Eukaryotic small subunit ribosomal RNA", at positions 1470 to 1796 of the family's 1831-position model. The record is from RNAcentral.
CCCUUAGAUGUUCUGGGCCGCACGCGCGCUACGCUGACAGGGCCAGCGAGUACAUCACCUUGGCCGAGAGGUCUGGGUAAUCUUGUUAAACCCUGUCGUGCUGGGGAUAGAGCAUUGCAAUUAUUAAUCUUCAACGAGGAAUGCCUAGUAAGCGCAAGUCAUCAGCUUGCGUUGAUUACGUCCCUGCCCUUUGUACACACCGCCCGUCGCUCCUACCGAUUGAAUGGUCCGGUGAAGCGUUCGGACCGUGGCCUUUGGACGGUUCGCCGUCUGUUGGCUGCAGGAAGUUCGUUAAACCUUAUCAUUUAGAGGAAGGAGAAGUCGUAACA